GACUCUUCUCGUCUCGGUCUCGCAUCGAUGAAGAACGUAGCGAAAUGCGAUACUUGGUGUGAAUUGCAGAAUCCCGUGAACCAUCGAGUCUUUGAACGCAAGUUGCGCCGAAGCCGUUAGGCCGAGGGCACGUCUGCCUGGGCGUCA
This 147-nucleotide ribosomal RNA is filed under the name Ipomoea nil (Japanese morning glory). RNAcentral describes it as "5.8S ribosomal RNA". It matches the Rfam family "5.8S ribosomal RNA". From Rfam's summary of the family: 5.8S ribosomal RNA (5.8S rRNA) is a component of the large subunit of the eukaryotic ribosome. It is transcribed by RNA polymerase I as part of the 45S precursor that also contains 18S and 28S rRNA. The record is from Rfam by way of RNAcentral. Lineage: Eukaryota; Viridiplantae; Streptophyta; Magnoliopsida; Solanales; Convolvulaceae.